UACAGAGGUCUCAAGCGUUGUUCGGAUUCAUUGGGCGUAAAGGGUGUGUAGGUGGCGCCGUAAGUCGGGUGUGAAAUCUCGGAGCUUAACUCCGAAACUGCAUUCGAUACUGCGGUGCUUGAGGACUGGAGAGGAGACUGGAAUUCAUGGUGUAGCAGUGAAAUGCGUAGAGAUCAUGAGGAAGACCAGUGGCGAAGGCGGGUCUCUGGACAGUUCCUGACGCUGAGGCACGAAGGCCAGGGGAGCAAACGGG
This 253-nucleotide ribosomal RNA is filed under the name uncultured bacterium. RNAcentral describes it as "partial 16S ribosomal RNA". It matches the Rfam family "Bacterial small subunit ribosomal RNA", at positions 524 to 776 of the family's 1533-position model. The record is from RNAcentral.